Molecule: long non-coding RNA, 730 nt
Organism: Humulus lupulus (European hop)
Lineage: Eukaryota; Viridiplantae; Streptophyta; Magnoliopsida; Rosales; Cannabaceae
Exons: 2
Source: RefSeq, a predicted model, not a curated record
CCUACUCUAUCACUCUCUCUCUCUCUUUCUGUUCUCUUUCAGCCCUGCUAUCUCUCUCUUUUCUCUCAGCCUCGACCAGAAACGCCUCCUCUCCACUCGACUCUCCCCUUCUUCUGUUUCGUCUUUGGUCCUGCAUCCCCCGGAUCCACUCGACUCUCCUCUUCUUCUCUCUCAGCAACAGUGCUCUUCCUUCCCUUAGCUUGUUGCGUCGGUUGCACCUUCUUUCGCGCCACACUCUCUCAGCUUCCAGAUGGCUUAGCUCGGUUCAGACACUCUGCCGUGGGAUGAGGCGGUGUCGUGGCCUCGUUUUGGGGAUCGUUGGUAGAUCUUCCUUGGUUCGAUCUCUUGCUACUCGGAGCUUGGCUUUCAAGAUGAGUGUGAUUUAUUUCGAUGCUCCAGAGGUAUUUAUUGGGUUGUUUUCUUGUAAUGCAAAUAAGGUGUUAGUGAAAAUACCUCAAUGUACUAAUAUUGUUGUGGUGUUGUGGUGUCCACACCACGCCUCAAUGUAUUCAUCUUUUUUAUUUGCAAGGAAGCUAAGGAUACAUUUGUUUGGAUUGAUCAUAAUUUGGACUAUAUUGUUCAUUAAUUUAGGAAGAUUUGUUUCUUUCUUGGUAUUGAUUAAAUGUAUAAUAAAUCUUGGAUACUCAUAUGACAUUUCAUUGAGUAUAAGUUUUGUAACUAUCUCAUUGAAUUUAUAAGUUUUGUUAUUUUAAUCUAUAAGUUUUCAGAU